Molecule: long non-coding RNA, 2559 nt
Organism: Papaver somniferum (opium poppy)
Lineage: Eukaryota; Viridiplantae; Streptophyta; Magnoliopsida; Ranunculales; Papaveraceae
Exons: 5
Source: RefSeq, a predicted model, not a curated record
UUCUGCUUCUCCUCCUCCUCCGGCUUCCAACAGUAACGGAAAUAACAUUAUUUUCUCCAUUGAAUCCCUUUGAUUCAUACGUUACGAAAAUUAAAAAUACCCAUCACCACCACCAUUAUUUCUGCUUACCAGUCCUUUAGAAAUGUUCCACUACAUAAACCGGACCAGAAGAAGUUGUUUUGUGAAGCUUCUCAGUGCGUUUGUAAACCAUAAUACUCCGUCACGAUUCAUAUUUUGGUUCGUGGAUGCCAUAUUGAGCAAAGAGUUACCAUCCAUCUCAGGUAAAAGAAAUGGUUGAGUCAUUGUUUAACACAAAGUCAUAUGUCAUUACACAGACAUUGGUGGUUGGGUAAAGAAAUGAGUUUUACAAACUUUCUGUGAGGUUGAUGAAUUUUAUAUUGUUCUUAUAGUUGCAGAACAAGAUGAACAUUAAUGAAGAAACUGUUCACACUAGCAGUAAAUUUCAUGAGAAGGCUCGACAGAAAAUUUUCUAUAAGGUUUAUGGUUCUGUACUUUACAUCUCAUUCACCACUUUCAUAAAUCUAAAAGCGGAGAAUGCUUAAACCAAAGAGCUUGGCAUAAUUCUAAAUAAUUUUUCUAUUUUUAUGUUUUAUAUAGUAAAAAAAAUUAGAUGGCAUGAGAGUACAUCUGCCCAUGUCUAUCGGAAGAUUAGUCUCCAACUUAUCAGUUCCCGUUAGUUAUUUGCUAGGUGGGAGGUAGAAUGACAAUUUCGUAUACUCUUUGAAGUCAUAUGAUUUGAUAUAAUGCUUUAAUUUAAAUCAAUUGCUGGUGGUGUUUGAGGAGAGGUAAUAAAUCUAUUAAAUUCUUAUUUGUUAAGGUAUUAUAUGAAUUCUUCUUAAAGGAGAGAAAUUGUAUAAAACCAAUGUUGAAUCUGUGGCAGGCUGAGGUACAUGGAUCUAUAAACGUCGAAGGAAAAGAUCAGUUGGAGCUCGAAUAAAUGCAUGUGUGACUAUUUGGUCACGGUGAGACACCUUAAAACUUUGUGGGAGGUAGAAAGACAAUUUCGUAUACUCUUUGAAGUCAUAUGAUUUGAUAUAAUGCUUUAAUUUAAAUCAAUUGCUGGUGGUGUUUGAGGAGAGGCUGAGGUACAUGGAUCUAUAAACGUCGAAGGAAAAGAUCAGUUGGAGCUCGAAUAAACGCAUGUGUGACUAUUUAGUCACGGUGAGACACCUUAAAACUUUGAGUGACUUUAUGAUUUUUGCUAAGAACGGUGUGUGUUUGGAAUGUGAUGCCAAGUGCCCAAAGAAACAUCUGCUAUAGAUUAGGAAUCCACAGUACGUUUUUUACACUAUACAGAAAUUUGGUGCCAUUUCAUCGACGCGUCACAAUAACAGUCUUCAGGUUACAACUCUUUUAUUUAUUCAAUCAACUGAGCAUUGAUAAUUUGACCUUAUAUAUGCUUCUGCUCAUUAGAUCUUCUUGAAAUUUAUUGCUGUACUCACACAACUAGCUAAAUUUUCUACCACUUUGUUCUGCUUAAGAUUUUCGUAUGAAUGUUAUCUACUGAUUACAAGAUGGCAAUUUUCUAUGACACCUGCAUGAUAAGUGCCCGACUUUGACAUGUACAUUCCCACAUUUCUAGAUGUAUUUGGAUGUGUCAACUUUGGAGAAUGAUCCACAUCUUUACUCCUUUACUAAGUUACUGCUUCAUCGCCACUUACAAGUGGUUCAAUUUUAUCCCGCUUCAGCGUACUAUGGUUAAUUUUGUUGUGCAUUUUUAUGCUCUAUUUAUUAACUUGGUUUGCUGCCUUGCGUUUCUAACAAGUUUAGAUAAAUUUAUGUAAGGUUUUUCCACGGUGGAAUCCUUAAUUGCUAGCGAGGUCAGUUCUUGAGCUUCGCUACAUAUCAAGAUUUGAAGGUAAUUCUCUAGAUAUAAGUUCACAUAUAUAAUCAGGUAAAGCUUUAUUGCCUAUAUUUUUGCGAUUGACAACUCAUGCAUACACAUUUAGCAGGUGGCAUGACUUAUAAAAUUUAACAACCAUAUUGAAUCAGCCAUUUUUCUAGCAUUGGCACCUCCAACCAGCCAGUUUAUCAUACUCCCUGCAGCUGUUUUAUCAUUUAACUUUCAUAAUUUGCACAUGAAGCCAUUCAGAGGCUAUGAGAUCUACAUCCAAUAUCCAAUAUCCAAAGCCCAUUUUCCAGUAGCACGUACCCACCAUGAGAUCGACAUAUCACAACUAAAUCAUUUGCCCAACCUAUAAUCAAGUCGCUCACCCACCAUAAGGCAGGCACUAAACAAAGUAGGCCUGGAGGUCAGGCCACUUACUAAUUACCUGUUGCUUCUUUUUUUAAUAACUACAGUAUUAUGUAACUUCUUAUUCGAUGGUUGAUUCACAUAUUGGAGUGAUAUUAUUUGCAAAUGUACACUGUAUAUUCUGAGAAGUAACUAAAUAUUUAUGUAACUUCGGAUUCGAAGGUUGAUUCACAUGUUGGAGCGAUAGAUUAUUUGGCAAUGUACGCUAUAAUUUAAGAAUGUAAAAACUUAUAUGUUUGUCUCUGUGCUCUAAUACUAAAGAGAUGUAGGGUCUUUGUUUUACA